This 451-nucleotide ribosomal RNA is filed under the name uncultured bacterium. RNAcentral's name for it is "bacterial SSU rRNA". It matches the Rfam family "Bacterial small subunit ribosomal RNA", at positions 29 to 526 of the family's 1533-position model. The record is from RNAcentral.
AACGAACGCUGGCGGCAGGCCUAACACAUGCAAGUCGAGCGAGACCUUCGGGUCUAGCGGCGGACGGGUUAGUAACGCGUGGGAACGUGCCCUUCACUACGGAAUAGUCCCGGGAAACUGGGUUUAAUACCGUAUACGCCCUUCGGGGGAAAGAAUUUCGGUGAAGGAUCGGCCCGCGUUGGAUUAGGUAGUUGGUGCGGUAACGGCGCACCAAGCCGACGAUCCAUAGCUGGUUUGAGAGGAUGAUCAGCAACACUGGGACUGAGACACGGCCCAGACUCCUACGGGAGGCAGCAGUGGGGAAUCUUAGACAAUGGGGGAAACCCUGAUCUAGCCAUGCCGCGUGAGUGACGAAGGCCCUAGGGUCGUAAAGCUCUUUCACCAGGGAAGAUAAUGACGGUACCUGGAGAAGAAACCCCGGCUAACUCCGUGCCAGCCGCCGCCGUAACAC